AGAGUUUGAUCCUGGCUCAGGAUGAACGCUAGCGGCAGGCUUAAUACAUGCAAGUCGUGGGGCAGCAGGGUUGUAGCAAUACAAUCGCUGGCGACCGGCAAACGGGUGCGUAACACGUACGCAACCUUCCCGUUACUGUGGCAUAGCCCAGGGAAACUUGGAUUAAUACCACAUAUUAUAUUGAUGAGGCAUCUCACUGAUAUCAAAGCUUCGGCGGUAACGGAUGGGCGUGCGGUUGAUUAGGUAGUUGGCGGGGUAACGGCCCACCAAGCCUACGAUCAAUAGCUGAUGUGAGAGCAUGAUCAGCCACACGGGCACUGAGACACGGGCCCGACUCCUACGGGAGGCAGCAGUAAGGAAUAUUGGGCAAUGGACGCAAGUCUGACCCAGCCAUGCCGCGUGAAGGAUUAAGGUCCUCUGGAUUGUAAACUUCUUUUCUCUGGGGCGAAAACCAGCUAAUCUUAGCUAUUUGACAGUACCAGAGGAAUAAGCACCGGCUAACUCCGUGCCAGCAGCCGCGGUAAUACGGAGGGUGCAAGCGUUAUCCGGAUUCACUGGGUUUAAAGGGUGCGUAGGUGGGCUAGUAAGUCCGUGGUGAAAUCCCCGAGCUUAACUUGGGAACUGCCAUUGAUACUAUUAGUCUUGAAUAUCGUGGAGGUAAGCGGAAUAUGUCAUGUAGCGGUGAAAUGCUUAGAUAUGACAUAGAACACCAAUUGCGAAGGCAGCUUGCUACACGGUCAUUGACACUGAGGCACGAAAGCGUGGGGGAGCAAAUAGGAUUAGAUACCCUGGUAGUCCACGCCCUAAACUAUGGAUACUCGACAUCAGCGAUACACAGUUGGUGUCUG
This 848-nucleotide ribosomal RNA is filed under the name uncultured bacterium. RNAcentral's name for it is "bacterial SSU rRNA". It matches the Rfam family "Bacterial small subunit ribosomal RNA", at positions 8 to 849 of the family's 1533-position model. The record is from RNAcentral.